CCCAGGGUUAGUCGGGACCUAAGCCGAGGCUGAAAAGCGUAGGCGAUGGACAACAGGUGGAAAUUCCUGUACUACCUCCACUCCGUUUGAGCAACGGGGGGACGCAGGAGGGUAGGGUGAGCAGACUGUUGGAUAUGUCUGUCCAAGCAGUGAGGCGUGUGUAUAGGCAAAUCCGUACACUGUAACGCCAGGCUGUGAUGGCGAGCGAAAUUGUAGUAGCGAAGUCCCUGAUCUCACACUUCCAAGAAAAGCCUCUAGCGAGGAGUGAGGUACCCGUACCGCAAACCGACACAGGUAGGCGAGGAGAGAAUCCUAAGGCGCGCGAGAAAACUCUUGCUAAGGAACUCGGCAAAAUGACCCCGUAACUUCGGGAGAAGGGGUGCCCCGGUAGCGUGUCAAAGCGCGAGGGGGCCGCAGUGAAAAGGCCCAAGCGACUGUUUAGCAAAAACACAGGUCUCUGCGAAGCCGCAAGGCGAAGUAUAGGGGCUGACGCCUGCCCGGUGCUGGAAGGUUAAGGGGAAAGGUUAGCACCUUCGGUGCGAGGCUUUGAACCGAAGCCCCAGUAAACGGCGGCCGUAACUAUAACGGUCCUAAGGUAGCGAAAUUCCUUGUCGGGUAAGUUCCGACCCGCACGAAAGGCGUAACGAUUUGGGCACUGUCUCAACGAGAGACUCGGUGAAAUCAUAGUACCUGUGAAGAUGCAGGUUACCCGCGACAGGACGGAAAGAC
This 729-nucleotide ribosomal RNA is filed under the name Klebsiella pneumoniae. Its description in RNAcentral is "partial 23S ribosomal RNA". It matches the Rfam family "Bacterial large subunit ribosomal RNA", at positions 1373 to 2089 of the family's 2925-position model. Lineage: Bacteria; Pseudomonadati; Pseudomonadota; Gammaproteobacteria; Enterobacterales; Enterobacteriaceae. The record is from RNAcentral.